RNAcentral lists this ribosomal RNA (301 nucleotides) under uncultured bacterium. RNAcentral's name for it is "partial 16S ribosomal RNA". It matches the Rfam family "Bacterial small subunit ribosomal RNA", at positions 509 to 807 of the family's 1533-position model. The record is from RNAcentral.
CAGCCGCCACGGUAACACGGAGGGUGCAAGCGUUAUCCGGAUUUAUUGGGUUUAAAGGGUCCGUAGGCGGAUCUGUAAGUCAGUGGUGAAAUCUCACAGCUUAACUGUGAAACUGCCAUUGAUACUGCAGGUCUUGAGUAAAUUUGAAGUGGCUGGAAUAAGUAGUGUAGCGGUGAAAUGCAUAGAUAUUACUUAGAACACCAAUUGCGAAGGCAGGUCACUAAGAUUUAACUGACGCUGAUGGACGAAAGCGUGGGGAGCGAACAGGAUUAGAUACCCGCGUAGUCCCUGUCUCUUAUAC